This 30-nucleotide non-coding RNA is filed under the name Mus musculus (house mouse). Lineage: Eukaryota; Metazoa; Chordata; Mammalia; Rodentia; Muridae. The record is from RNAcentral.
UAACACUUUGCAGUGCUUUAGAAAAUGAAU